Felis catus (domestic cat) is the source of this 834-nucleotide long non-coding RNA. RefSeq lists it as uncharacterized. The record is from RefSeq and is a predicted model, not a curated record. NCBI's taxonomy places the organism in Eukaryota, Metazoa, Chordata, Mammalia, Carnivora, Felidae. The transcript has 2 exons.
GGCAGAUCCGGAACUAGAAUCCAGGUCUCGAUGAAUAUCCAUCCUGUUCCAUACCCUCAGGAGGCACUCAUAGAUGGUUCAAAUGCUAUCUCCUCCCCUUAUUCGCUGUGUGACACAGAGAAAGCCGUUCCAUCUCCCUAAGUGAAUUUUCUCACGCGCAAAUGAGAGAACAGAAUCUACCAACAGCAACGUCGUGAGAAGUAAAUGAGAUGAGGAAAGCCAAUCAAUCGCCUGGCACUACGUCUGGCACAUGGUGGGUGAGCACCUAGUAAUUAUGGGUUCCCUUCACCUGCCCACUCGGUCCCACAAGCCUCAGGGUUCACCCACUACACCCAUGCGACAGGGUAUCCACUCCGCCAGAGGCCCGCACGCGGCCUCUGGGUUUCACAGGCCCGUGGACAGCCGCACUGUCAUACCUGCAUGGAGUCAGCGCUGACGAUUUCGCCACCGAGCCGCUGGCCUAGCUGCAACGCCAGGGUGGAUUUGCCGGUGCCGGUCGCCCCAAGAAUCACUACAAGAGGCAGUGUCCGUUGCAGACCCCGUAGCCCGGAACCCACAGAAACUGCUCGUGCAACCGCUACCGCCGCCAUCUUGAAGCUAUCUGCGCUUGUGCAGGAGCAGCUGUCCCCAUGGCAACCGUCAGUGCGCCUGCGCAGACCUAGGACUCCGUUAGGAUGAGUGGAGAGGUGGGAGCGGCGCGACCAAGGCUUCUGAGCUUGAGAGGCUCUCGACCUGACUGCCCUCAACUAGCUGGUGCCAGCGCCUCAACUCUCUCUUCUCCCCUCUUUGUUGUUUUAACAACUGGUAAUCAAUUUAUUAAAAAGAUUUUUUUAA